Molecule: long non-coding RNA, 1551 nt
Filed under: Homo sapiens (human)
Lineage: Eukaryota; Metazoa; Chordata; Mammalia; Primates; Hominidae
Description: HSALNT0158144
Source: RNAcentral
AAUUAAGAUUGCUAGGAGUCACCAUUAACAUGUAAUUAAGAUUACUAGAAACAGUUUUAUAUGCAAGAUGUGUAAGAAUAGUAAAAUGUGUUUUUUUUUUUUUUUUGGUAAAAGGUUAUAAAGGGUUUUUGCUUAAAAUUUCUGAGUCAUCAUUUUGGCAAAAUAAGUAAUUUAGGGCAAUCUGGAAUUCCAAAAUCAAACUUCAGUUUCAAAAUUGUCUUUUCUAAUGCCUGGCUUUUUGGAUGGAUCAGAUGGCCCCUGAAAACAUCCAGAAAAGAGUUAUAAUAGAGUUGGAUGAACAGAAAAGUAUCUAUGCUGCAGCUGGCACUUAUGACCUACGGAAAAAUACAUUAAAUGAAGAUUAUGGAAAUUCAGUGAAGGAGAUGAGACUGCUAAGUUAAGUGAGUAGACUCUUUAUCUAGCUCAUUCUUUAAUCGAUUCUAUUUUAGGAGGUUUGGCUUAUGGGGACCUUCGAUGAGCACCAUACUCCAAACUCUAGGUAUUAUGCUCCCAAUAGUCAUAAUAAUAGUCUCGUUGCUGCGCUAUAUUCUCUCAAAGGUUUUAAAUGCUUAUAUGCAACCAUCACUAGGAUGUCAUUUGGUCUCUCUUCGACUGGAAUAACAAGAGCUGAAAGAAAUGUGCAACCAUGAGGACACCGUAACCUGUCAAUGACAUGCUGAGAUGGGAAACCCAAAAUGAUGGUAACUGAGAGUGGCACUAAGGCCCUAAGUUUUGGUCACAUUCUCACCUAAGUGAGAACCUGAUCAAAAAGGGGAAAUUUCUGAAAUGAAAUGAUAGGAGGCCAUUGUUUUGGACUGGGCUCAUGCACUAAGCCUCAACAGACCAAACCAAACCAAAAUGGAGUCGCUAGUUCUAAGACUUUAAGGAAACACACAGAUCCUAGAACACACCACAAGCAAAAUUUUGUUUGUCUCCUGCAAAUCUCUAUAACAAACAUUCUCGACAGCAUAGGUAUCCACCCCUGAAGUUCCCAAUAAAUGUUUUAACCCAAUUCAUUUCCUCUCACCUAGAGACCAUCUAGCUUCAGAUGAUCAUGCAACAAAGGCUCCAGCCAAUUCCAGGUAAAGACACCACCCCUGGCCAUCAAGGAGAUACCCUGCCUCCACUAGAGAGAGCAGAGUGAGAGUUCUGUGAUCCUCAAUAGGUAGAAACUACACCCCAAGCCAGCAUGAAGCAGCUACAGAAGAAAGACCAGCUGUCCCUCUGCCUCCCAUAAAGAUUUAUGAAGAUCACAUCUCUCAGUGGGGAAAUGAGUCAAGAAAAUAAUGUCUGGAGGCAGGGAACAUAAGGCCAAUUAACACUUCAGCUAUGACAGGAAAUAUCCUUUCCAUAGGGUGUACACUAAGUGACUUCGUAACCUUACUUUGUCCUCUUCAUUUACAUAGGGCAUACAGCAAGUAACCAAUGGAAACUGCUAGAGUGUAUUUAAACUCCCACAAAUUCUGUAAUGGGGCCCUAUGCUCAUGCCCAUUACCACACUGUGAAGUGUACUUUCAUUUCGAAUAAAUAUCUCCUUUUGCUACUUUAUUC